Molecule: ribosomal RNA, 430 nt
Filed under: Verrucomicrobiota bacterium
Lineage: Bacteria; Pseudomonadati; Verrucomicrobiota
Description: Verrucomicrobia bacterium partial 16S ribosomal RNA
Rfam family: Bacterial small subunit ribosomal RNA
Source: RNAcentral
UAGGGAAUCUUCGGCAAUGGGGGGAACCCUGACCGAGCAACGCCGCGUGAGUGAAGAAGGUUUUCGGAUCGUAAAGCUCUGUUGUUAAGGAAGAACGAGUGUGAGAAUGGAAAGUUCAUGCUGUGACGGUACUUAACCAGAAAGGGACGGCUAACUACGUGCCAGCAGCCGCGGUAAUACGUAGGUGGCAAGCGUUGUCCGGAAUUAUUGGGCGUAAAGCGCGCGCAGGUGGUUUAGAAAGUCUGAAGUGAAAGCCCACGGCUCAACCGUGGAGGGUCAUUGGAAACUAAUAAACUCGAGUGCAGGAGAGAAAAGUGGAAUUCCUAGUGUAGCGGUGAAAUGCGUAGAGAUUAGGAGGAACACCGGUGGCGAAAGCGGCUUUUUGGCCUGCAACUGACACUGAGGCGCGAAAGCGUGGGGAGCAAACAGG